UGAUCAUUAGCUCAGUUGGCAGAGCGCUGCUCUUACAAGGCAGAUGUCCCCAGUUCGAGUCUGGGAUGAUCAACCA
RNAcentral lists this transfer RNA (76 nucleotides) under Sphingomonas sp. RNAcentral describes it as "tRNA-Val". It matches the Rfam family "tRNA". From Rfam's summary of the family: Transfer RNA (tRNA) molecules are approximately 80 nucleotides in length. Their secondary structure includes four short double-helical elements and three loops (D, anti-codon, and T loops). The record is from RNAcentral. Lineage: Bacteria; Pseudomonadati; Pseudomonadota; Alphaproteobacteria; Sphingomonadales; Sphingomonadaceae.